UGUGCGACGCAGCUAACGCAUUAAGCGCCCCGCCUGGGGAGUACGAUCGCAAGAUUAAAACUCAAAGGAAUUGACGGGGCCCCGCACAAGCAGCGGAGCAUGCGGCUUAAUUCGACGCAACGCGAAGAACCUUACCAAGGCUUGACAUAUACAGGAAUAUGGCAGAGAUGUCAUAGCCGCAAGGUCUGUAUACAGGUGGUGCAUGGUUGUCGUCAGCUCGUGUCGUGGGAUGUUGGGUUAAGUCCCGCAACGAGCGCAACCCUCGUUCUGUGUUGCCAGCAUUUAGUUGGGGACUCACAGGAGACUGCCGGGGUUAACUCGGAGGAAGGUGGGGAUGACGUCAAAUCAUCAUGCCCCUUAUGUCUUGGGCUGCACGCAUGCUACAAUGGCUGGUACAAACGGCUGCAAUACCGCAAGGUGGAGCGAAUCCGAGAAAGCCAGUCUCAGUUCGGAUUGGGGUCUGCAACUCGACCCCAUGAAGUCGGAGUUGCUAGUAAUCGUAGAUCAGCAACGCUACGGUGAAUACGUUCCCGGGGCUUGUACACACCGCCCGUCACAUCACGAAAGUCGGUAACACC
This 578-nucleotide ribosomal RNA is filed under the name uncultured Actinomycetes bacterium. RNAcentral describes it as "bacterial SSU rRNA". It matches the Rfam family "Bacterial small subunit ribosomal RNA", at positions 840 to 1421 of the family's 1533-position model. Lineage: Bacteria; Bacillati; Actinomycetota; Actinomycetes. The record is from RNAcentral.